Non-coding RNA from Cinara cedri, 212 nucleotides. The record is from the annotation of a GenBank genome assembly. Lineage: Eukaryota; Metazoa; Arthropoda; Insecta; Hemiptera; Aphididae.
CGUGGUAUUGAAGUUUAAAUAUUAAAUUUUUUAUUUUAUUUUUAUUGACAUUUUGUUCAAACUAUACAAAUUUCAAAUUUUUUUUUUGCCUGAUACAUGACGGUGGGAGGGAAGAUUGACUUCAUAAAAUGUUUGCACCAUCUUUUAAUAAACUAAAAUGACGCCCUUGCUUAUUACCGAACGUAUUUAAAUUUUUGGCUCUCUGUAAUACU